This 236-nucleotide long non-coding RNA is filed under the name Panax ginseng (ginseng). RNAcentral's name for it is "long non-coding RNA (PGIN_LNC012975)". Lineage: Eukaryota; Viridiplantae; Streptophyta; Magnoliopsida; Apiales; Araliaceae. The record is from RNAcentral.
AUCACUCAUAGAGGAAGCAAGAGACGUGUCGAGUGGAGAUGUUUCCAGGUUGAGAUUUAUAACCAAUGGAGGGUUGCUAGGUAAGGGAGAAAAAGAAGAACCUAAGGAACAUAACCUUUGCCUCAGACUCAAGGGUUAAUAGGUUUAGGCUUACUUUUCUUUGGUAACGUGGUUUUGGGUUCAGUGAACUGAAUUCUAUAGUACGGUACAAAUCUGAUGGUAGCAUCGGAUUACGG